This 176-nucleotide unclassified non-coding RNA is filed under the name uncultured fungus. Its description in RNAcentral is "sequence contains ITS1, 5.8S rRNA gene". The record is from RNAcentral. Lineage: Eukaryota; Fungi.
AUGAGUUAGGGUCUUCUAGGCCCGAUCUCCAACCCUUUGUAUAACUACCAUGUUGCUUUGGCGGGCCCGUCUUUAACCGGACCGUCGGGGGUCUUUGACCUCUGGCCAGUGCCCGCCAGUAGCCCACAACAAAUUCUUUUUAACCAUGUUAAAUCUGAAAAUAGUUAAAUAAACUA